UGCCUAUGAAUCUGCCUGGUAGUGGGGGAUAACGUUCGGAAACGGACGCUAAUACCGCAUACGUCCUACGGGAGAAAGCAGGGGACCUUCGGGCCUUGCGCUAUCAGAUGAGCCUAGGUCGGAUUAGCUAGUUGGUGAGGUAAUGGCUCACCAAGGCUACGAUCCGUAACUGGUCUGAGAGGAUGAUCAGUCACACUGGAACUGAGACACGGUCCAGACUCCUACGGGAGGCAGCAGUGGGGAAUAUUGGACAAUGGGCGAAAGCCUGAUCCAGCCAUGCCGCGUGUGUGAAGAAGGUCUUCGGAUUGUAAAGCACUUUAAGUUGGGAGGAAGGGCAGUUACCUAAUACGUGAUUGUUUUGACGUUACCGACAGAAUAAGCACCGGCUAACUCUGUGCCGCAGCCGCGGUAUACAGAGGGUGCAGCGUUAUCGGAAUUACUGGGCGUAAAGCGCGCGUAGGUGGUUUGUUAGUUGAAUGUGAAAUCCCCGGGCUCACCUGGGAACUGCAUCCAAACUGGCGGCUAGAUAUGGUAGAGGGUGGUGGA
Molecule: ribosomal RNA, 546 nt
Filed under: Pseudomonas sp.
Lineage: Bacteria; Pseudomonadati; Pseudomonadota; Gammaproteobacteria; Pseudomonadales; Pseudomonadaceae
Description: bacterial SSU rRNA
Rfam family: Bacterial small subunit ribosomal RNA
Source: RNAcentral